This 424-nucleotide unclassified non-coding RNA is filed under the name soil metagenome. RNAcentral's name for it is "partial contains 5.8S ribosomal RNA, internal transcribed spacer 2, and large subunit ribosomal RNA". The stretch from base 1 to 120 matches the Rfam family "5.8S ribosomal RNA", at positions 35 to 154 of the family's 154-position model. The record is from RNAcentral.
GAUGAAGAACGUAGCGAAAUGCGAUAAGUUGUGUGAAUUGCAGAAUUCCGUGAAUCAUCGAAUCUUUGAACGCACAUUGCGCCUUCUGGUAUUCCGGAAGGCAUGCCUGUUCGAGAGUCAUUAACAACCGUUUCGAUCCCUUUCUUUCAGAAAUUACAAAGAGGAAAAGGGUUUGGUUAUGGUGGAGGAGGGAAAGGGAGCGUUUAGCCUGUAAAAAAAGAGGCUGUGUUCCGCCUCCCCCCCAAAAUUGUACAGGCGGUCGUGUGCGCCCACGCAUCGAGGUGUUGUAAAAGCUGCCACGGCACUUUUCACCUGUGCAGUGCGAGAUUGGCCAGCCGGUUUAAAAACCCCUCCAAACAAUCAAAGGUUGACCUCGGAUCAGGUAGGGAUACCCGCUGAACUUAAGCAUAUCAAUAAGCGGAGG